UGGGGGCAAGCUGGAGCCUCGUCUCCACACCAGGGAGCAGGCAGAAGGAAGUCCCUCACGGAGCUCUCCAGAGCACGUACCAGGAGAGCCCGCAUUUGGAUGCCUGCCCGUACACUGGGAACAAAGGGCCGUCGGUGUCAAGUGGAGGCGCUGUUGUGACCAGCUGAGAGGGUUACGAGCUUACCACCGACAGUCUCGUAAAACGAGACCGGCCUCUCCGUCUUCCGCCCCCCACGCCGCAGCAGUGCAUGCUGGGAAGCGGGAGGCGUUGCUAGAACGGGAAGAAGCCGGACCCCCCUCCAAAGCGCUGCUGUCAGCCGCGAGCGCACGUUCCAGUCCCUCGGGGAAACUUUGAAAAAAAAAUUCUUGUGAACUGAGAUUCCCAGUAAACCAGUGCUAUCACUCUGACCUUGCCCCAGAGAUGAGCAAACAGAAGCCUGGAGAAUUUACGUGAUUUGUGCAAGUUCAACACAGCUGUGAUGUGGACCAGUUAGAUGGGCUCUGGCAGCCAUCUCGGACCAAAAGGUAACUUUAAAGACAGAAGCUAUGUACUUGCAAGGUAGAUCAGAAGAACAAGAGGAACCUGACUCUGCAGUGACACUGGAGCCGCCAGACCACAUCUGGACUGAUGUCUCUGGACUUCUUUUUAUAAGAGAAAUAAACAUCUAUCUUGUUUAAACAAUUGUUAUUUUGAGUUUUCUGUUUUACAGCCAAAUUUGACCCUGGCAGUUUCAAGGGCCAAGCUCUACUGGGGAUUUCUUAUGGUUGAGAUAGAGAUUUUUGCUUCCUUAAUAAUUCUGGAAUCUAUCUCCUCUCCAUUGCCCCUGUUCCUUGAGUGGAAGUCCUUACUGUUUCUCCAUUGAAUCUUCACCCCCUCCAAUAAGUAGUCUGUACCACUGCCAGAGGGAUCUUCUAAAUGACAAGUUUGAUUAUAUCACUCCCACUGUUAAAAACCUUUCCAGAGGCUGGUAAGCUCUGACUUGUUUGUGAUAGGAUGUUUUGUCUUAUGAAUUGAAUAUUAGGACCUGAGCAUGUCCUACUCUAUAUUUGUGCUUAUUUUGUUAUGCGGUUUAUAUCAUGUGUCCAUAUGUAUCCAAGGAACAUUGCUAGAAACAUCACUGGAAGUUCCUGCAGGAGAGGAAGCCACUGGUGAGCACUGUAUCCUACAAUAGCCAAUGAAAGAACAUAAAUUUAUUUGCUAGUAAGCUGGGCGUUGGGCACAUCUAAACCCACUUAGGAAUCAUAGUCCAGCAGCCACCUCUUUCCCCAACCACGCAAUCUUACUCCUCUUAGUAACAUUCCAUUGCUCUCUGAGCCAUUCCAUUUUUCCUUCCUGUAUCAGUGCUCUGAUCACUCCCAGGAUUUUUUUGCAAUGAAAAUGCGGAUUACAGACCCACUGCUGAACCUUUAGUCACCUCUAAAGCUCCAUUGGAUGAAUUGCUUCCAUUGGUUUUCAGAAGCUAUCAGUGGGUUCCAUUGUGUUGUUUUACUAUAUCAAUAUUCUCCUUCCCGUGAAGAUGUCUUUGCCUUUAUUUUUGUGUGUGGUGCAUUUAAAAAAACGUUUGUUCUGAGAUCUUUGUAGAUUCACAUACUGUUGUGAGAAAUAAUAAUACCCUUCACUUGAUUUCUUCCAAUGGUAAUAUCUUAGGUGAUUUUCGUACAGUAUCACAAUCAAGAGAUUGACAUUGAUACAAUCUGCAUUAAUUUUAAAAAAAAUUAUUGUUUUCCUUCUUUUUAGAUACAUUAUAUACUUAAAAGGCAGUAACUCUUGCACCGUCAAGUUGUAGUAGAAAAUAUACAAUGUACUCUUUUUACUUCUGUUCGUGUGUAUUGUACAGAGCCUGUGUGCUUUUUGUAAUGUAAAUAAAAAAAUUUUAAGAGCUC
Molecule: long non-coding RNA, 1884 nt
Organism: Aethalodelphis obliquidens (Pacific white-sided dolphin)
Lineage: Eukaryota; Metazoa; Chordata; Mammalia; Artiodactyla; Delphinidae
Exons: 3
Source: RefSeq, a predicted model, not a curated record